Long non-coding RNA from Dendroctonus ponderosae (mountain pine beetle), 1121 nucleotides. RefSeq lists it as uncharacterized. Lineage: Eukaryota; Metazoa; Arthropoda; Insecta; Coleoptera; Curculionidae. The record is from RefSeq and is a predicted model, not a curated record. The transcript has 3 exons.
UUAACCGCUUUUUAAGAGCAAUUGACCUUAAAGUCGUUCAGGUAAUCAAAUUUCAGCUUAAAUAUCGCAUUUUCAAGCUGCAAGACUUCAAACUGAAAAUAUUGACGAAGUGCAAUUGAAAGCUCAAAACGAUCGUUGUUUUAAACCUUUAACUGCAUAUUUUUACUUUAUCUUCACAAUCGGACUUUCCGAACGUCCCGACUCAACAUUUUUCGACUGACUCGAGCCGCAAAACUCAACUUAAACUUGGCAUUUUGCCACUCAACUUGAAAGUUUCGUGACAAUGACAUGUGACCAGUAAGCUCGACAGUUUUUUUUAACAUAAACGCUUGUCUUUGAAGGUUUUUCCGUAAAAUAUCACCGAUCUAUUCCAAACAAAAACUGUUCUCGAAGUUUUCAAAAACAUGGCAAUACUUCCUCCCGACCUCAUAAACGCAACACAGAACACUCGAACAUCUUCCUCCGGGUCUUCGAAAACUUCUUUAAAUAUAAUUUUCAAGCACAGAAGCACACACUGUGCGCAAUAAAAUUGUAGAAAAUUCAUUUCAAAUUCGCUGUGUGAGAACUUUUCUAACUCGGUCAAACAGGAAACUUUGACUUAAGUGAACUCCAACUCCAAAGUAAGUAGUUUAUUAGAGGUCGUUGACAUCGCUCAUGUCAGCCUCGAGUGCGGCCAUUUUAGUUAACUUCAAAUUUGAGUGAAGGUUUGAGUUGUGCGUUAACAGUGCGGUUUUCUUGCAAAAAAACUGUGAAAUUUCCAGGAAAAAAGGUCUGGAAUUCAAGCAGAGCGAGCACAGGGACUAACAUCGUUUGAAACGAAACUCUCCGUGCCCUAGCAGACCAAACCCUGCUUUUCCGAUAAAAACACCCGCAGCUUUUUGCUGUUAAUUUGGAGCAAAUGUGUAAAUAAAAUGGGCGAAUACACAUGCAAACCACGAGCAGAAGUGAGGAUAUUUUCAUCAAAUAAAUCUCGACCUCAGUUUGAACAAAUGCCAUAACAUCCAAUAGUGACGGAAAAUCCUGAAAAAUUGAAGGUAAAACCAACUCAACCUGAUAUAACGCGCUUAAAUGCCCUCCGCGGCCAUAUUGUUUUAUGUGACGUCGGCUACUGUUUGGGUAAU